RNAcentral lists this long non-coding RNA (724 nucleotides) under Astyanax mexicanus (Mexican tetra). Its description in RNAcentral is "lncRNA (ENSAMXG00005002940.1)". Lineage: Eukaryota; Metazoa; Chordata; Actinopteri; Characiformes; Acestrorhamphidae. The record is from RNAcentral.
CACAGCACAUCUUCAGUAUAUUAACUGCAGAGCUGUUGAUGUUUACUCUACACGCUGAUACUGGAGUAAUUGGACACAGAACUGAGGAAAGACUGUAUAGGAUUAAAGAAGAUUAAGAAGCUUGUGCAGGUAAUUCUCUAAACCUGAAAGAUGUGGACACUGAGGACCGCACUGCUGAUGCUGUUCAUCGCAUCCGUUUUCUCCAAACCGCUCAUUUCAGAAGGUCUGAGAGGUCUAAAGGAGGACUCGAUCAACAGAGAUCUUCAGAAAUCCGACUCCAUGGAAUCGAAUGAAUUGAGUGAUAUCUCGGCUGAGGGCGGCUCCCGCUUGCCUCAGUCAGUUGAGGAUUCUAAUUCAGAUUCGGAUUCAGAUUCUGACGAGGAUGAUGAUGACGACGACGACGACGAUUCUGACGAGGAUACUUCCAGCACCACCACUUCUACUCUUCCUUCUACUACUCCUUCUCCUUCAGGGCCAAGCACAACUAGAGUAAUCCCCACCGCUGAAAUUAUCACCCCUUUCCCUGUUGGGCCGACCGGAUCCCGAGGGGAUAACUAAAGCAUCACUAUAGAGCACUUCCUGAGAGGUCAUGAAGGUCAAAUGAAUGUUUUUGCACCAUACUUUACAAAUGCACUGUUACCUGCACUGUUUAUUACACUGUUCAUUUUAUUUCUUUGGCUGAAUCUGUUUCUGAAUCUUAUGCAAAUAAAUUAUCAGCAUUUUG